This 309-nucleotide ribosomal RNA is filed under the name Triticum aestivum (bread wheat). RNAcentral's name for it is "partial small subunit ribosomal RNA". Lineage: Eukaryota; Viridiplantae; Streptophyta; Magnoliopsida; Poales; Poaceae. The record is from RNAcentral.
AUGGGGCUCAAGGGGAACAAGCGCUUCGGCGGCGGCGGCGGCCAGCCGCCGGCCAAGCGCCAGGCGGCCGGGAAGGACGGCCCCUCCGAGGAAACCGACGACGGCAUCGUCGUUGCCCAGAUAUCGAAGAAUAAGAGGGUGGCUGUGAGGAGCUGGAACGGCAAGGUGAUGGUCGACAUGCGCGAGUUCUACGAAAAGGACGGCAAGAGCCUCCCGACCCGCAAAGGUAUAUCGCUCUCAAUGGAUCAGUGGAAAAUACUGAGGGACAACAUCGAAGCUAUAGACGAGGCCAUCAAGGAGAACACUUAA